This 323-nucleotide long non-coding RNA is filed under the name Capsicum annuum. Its description in RNAcentral is "long non-coding RNA (CANN_LNC017029)". The record is from RNAcentral. Lineage: Eukaryota; Viridiplantae; Streptophyta; Magnoliopsida; Solanales; Solanaceae.
AAGCUUAACAUCACUUCUCAAAUGCUCUCUUAACUAUACUAUUCCCCUUAAAUACCAUACUCAUUUGAUUCAACUUAUAAUUCUCAUAUUGGCACUGUGAAAUCUUUCUACUAAGGUCUAAACUAAACUAAGUUCUCUCAUCAUGAUCAAGCCUAACACUAAAUCACAAGAUACAACAUGUCAAACCACAAUACUAGUCUAAACCACAAGGUUCAAUAUUCUAUAUCUUCUUAGAGCUCACACCCUAAGCAUAACAUGCCUUACCACUUCAAUGACUAAUUUAAAACUCUUGAUAUGGAUUCACUAGUGCAUAUUGCAUUCAU